GACGUAGGAGGCGAGCGUUAUCCGGAUUCACUGGGAGUAAAGCGCAUGUAGGCGGCUCGAUAAGUCGUGUGUUAAAGCCCCUGGCUCAACUGGGGGAGGUCAUGCGAGACUACCGGACUUGAGGGCAGUAGAGGCACGUGGAACUCCCGGUGUAGCGGUGGAAUGCGUAGAGAUCGGGAAGAACACCCGUGGCGAAGGCGACGUGCUGGGCUGCAACUGACGCUGAGAUGCGAAAGCGUGGGGAGCAAACAGG
This 253-nucleotide ribosomal RNA is filed under the name uncultured bacterium. Its description in RNAcentral is "partial 16S ribosomal RNA". It matches the Rfam family "Bacterial small subunit ribosomal RNA", at positions 524 to 776 of the family's 1533-position model. The record is from RNAcentral.